UCCGCGCGCUCUGCACCGGGGAGAAGGGCGCCGGCCGCUCCGGGAAGCCCCUCCACUACAAGGGCUCGAGCUUCCACCGCGUGAUCCCGGGGUUCAUGUGCCAGGGCGGCGACUUCACCGCCGGGAACGGGACCGGCGGCGAGUCGAUCUACGGCUCCAAGUUCGCCGACGAGAACUUCGUCAAGAAGCACACCGGCCCGGGUGUCCUGUCCAUGGCGAACGCCGGCCCGGGGACCAACGGCUCCCAGUUCUUCGUCUGCACCGCCAAGACCGAGUGGCUCGACGGCAAGCACGUCGUGUUCGGGCAGAUCGUGGACGGGAUGGACG
This 327-nucleotide long non-coding RNA is filed under the name Eucalyptus grandis. RNAcentral describes it as "long non-coding RNA (EGRA_LNC004307)". The record is from RNAcentral. Lineage: Eukaryota; Viridiplantae; Streptophyta; Magnoliopsida; Myrtales; Myrtaceae.